CCUACGGGCGGCAGCAGUGGGGAAUAUUGCGCAAUGGGCGAAAGCCUGACGCAGCGACGCCGCGUGAGGGAUGAAGGUUUUCGGAGCGGAAACCUCUGUCAGAAGGGAAGAAGGUGCAGGGGGCCAAGCACCUGUGCAUUGACGGUACCUGCAAAGGAAGCACCGGCUAACUCCGUGCCAGCAGCCGCGGUAAUACGGAGGGUGCGUGCGUUAAUCGGAAUUACUGGGCGGAAAGCCCACGUAGGCUGUAUGUCAAGUCAAGGGUGAAAUCCCACGGCUCCACCGUGGAACUGCCUUUGAAACUGGCAAACUGGAGUAUGUGAGAGGGCGGCGGAAUUCCUGGUGU
Molecule: ribosomal RNA, 346 nt
Filed under: uncultured bacterium
Lineage: Bacteria
Description: partial 16S ribosomal RNA
Rfam family: Bacterial small subunit ribosomal RNA
Source: RNAcentral